This 460-nucleotide ribosomal RNA is filed under the name uncultured bacterium. RNAcentral's name for it is "partial 16S ribosomal RNA". It matches the Rfam family "Bacterial small subunit ribosomal RNA", at positions 338 to 795 of the family's 1533-position model. The record is from RNAcentral.
CCUACGGGGGGCAGCAGUGAGGAAUAUUGGUCAAUGGGCGGGAGCCUGAACCAGCCAAGCCGCGUGAGGGAAGAAGGUACAGCGUAUCGUAAACCUCUUUUGUCAGGGAACAAAGGCGGGGACUCGUCCCCGGCUGAGGGUACCUGAAGAAAAAGCAUCGGCUAACUCCGUGCCAGCAGCCGCGGUAAUAGGGAGGAUGCGAGCGUUAUCCGGAUUUAUUGGGUUUAAAGGGAGCGUAGAUGGGUUGUUAAGUCAGUUGUGAAAGUUUGCGGCUCAACCGUAAAAUUGCAAUUGAUACUGGCAGCCUUGAGUACAGUUGAGGUAGGCGGAAUUCGUGGUGUAGCGGUGAAAUGCUUAGAUAUCACGAAGAACUCCGAUUGCGAAGGCAGCCUACUAAACUGCCACUGACAUUGAUGCUCGAAAGUGUGGGUAUCAAACAGGAUUAGAUACCCGGGUAGUC